CCUACGGGCGGCUGCAGUGAGGAAUAUUGCACAAUGGGGGAAACCCUGAUGCAGCAACGCCGCGUGGGCGAAGAAGGCCUUCGGGUUGUAAAGCCCUUUUUUGUGGGAUGAGCAAGGACAGUACCACAAGAAUAAGUCUCGGCUAACUACGUGCCAGCAGCCGCGGUAAAACGUAGGAGGCGAGCGUUAUCCGGAUUCAUUGGGCGUAAAGGGCAAGUAGGCGGUGGCGAAAGUUGGGCGUGACAUCUCUCGGCUUAACUGAGAGGGGUCGUUCAAAACUACGUCACUUGAGGGCAGGAGAGGGAAGUGGAAUUCCUCGUGUAGCGGUGGAAUGCUCAGAUAUGAGGAGGAACACCAGUGGCGAAAGCGACUUCCUGGCCUGAACCUGACGCUGAGAGGCGAAAGCUAGGGGAGCGAACGGGCUUAGAUACCCCAGUAGUC
Molecule: ribosomal RNA, 441 nt
Filed under: uncultured bacterium
Lineage: Bacteria
Description: bacterial SSU rRNA
Rfam family: Bacterial small subunit ribosomal RNA
Source: RNAcentral